RNAcentral lists this unclassified non-coding RNA (509 nucleotides) under Hevea brasiliensis (rubber tree). The record is from RNAcentral. Lineage: Eukaryota; Viridiplantae; Streptophyta; Magnoliopsida; Malpighiales; Euphorbiaceae.
GGUCAUAGUUUUCAGCCGACCAGAACGGUUCAAUGAAUUUGAACUCAACGGUGGUUGAGAAAGACAAUUCAAGUCGUUAAGCAGCUGCUGUUGUUGCAUAUCAAAAUCACUCAGAUAAUCAAAAUCCUCUACAGGCAUGUCUCUUGCACUCAGAGAAGAUCUUAGGCGGCUGGAUUGAAUAUUGCUUCCUGGAAGAUGCAAGGCAGGUACAUUCGGUUGGGGCCAAGCCACGGACGAGUGAGACAUGCCAUUGGCAGAUGGAGACAUCGGAGGAGUGAACGGUGAUGGAGACAUCACAGGGACCGAAGAUGGAGAACCAGGUAGAAGGUUCAUGACUGUAGCAUAAUCCAUGGCAGAAGCCCCGGAAGUGCAAGAACGUGGUGAGGGAACAGCAGAGCCAGUCGAGACAUACAGAGGGCGCAGUUCCUCAGUGGUGUGUGCAAAAAAGCAGACUCUUCUUGAGCAAUUUGUGCCAUCUUUGCAAAGGCGGGUUCGAUAUUGUGCUGGGU